UACGGAGGGUCCAAGCGUUAUCCGGAAUCAUUGGGUUUAAAGGGUCCGCAGGCGGACAAUUAAGUCAGAGGUGAAAUCCCAUAGCUCAACUAUGGAACUGCCUUUGAUACUGGUUGUCUUGAGUUAUACGGAAGUAGAUAGAAUAUGUGGUGUAGCGGUGAAAUGCAUAGAUAUCACAUAGAAUACCGAUUGCGAAGGCAGUCUACUACGUAUAUACUGACGCUCAUGGACGAAAGCGUGGGGAGCGAACAGG
RNAcentral lists this ribosomal RNA (253 nucleotides) under uncultured bacterium. Its description in RNAcentral is "partial 16S ribosomal RNA". It matches the Rfam family "Bacterial small subunit ribosomal RNA", at positions 524 to 776 of the family's 1533-position model. The record is from RNAcentral.